This is a long non-coding RNA of Gasterosteus aculeatus aculeatus (three-spined stickleback), 4068 nucleotides long. NCBI's taxonomy places the organism in Eukaryota, Metazoa, Chordata, Actinopteri, Perciformes, Gasterosteidae. The record is from Ensembl.
UGAAAAGGGCUCAUUGCGGUUACUUUUUUUCAAAUGAGUGCCGGGAUGGAUAUUUUCAGAGUUCUGCAUAUGGUGGACAGCCGGACCCUUGGCAAGCCGAGGAGAAGCAUGGCAGACGGCAGAGUUUUUAAUCUAUCUGUCUGUCUCCUCUCUGUUAUUAACCUCACGCCCUGACAGCCUGCUCCCUGUGACACUGACCUGCUUCACCUAAUGAGCUACCAAUUACUACAAAUUAGGCAAGAGAGAGGCCACCGCUAUCAUCCACUCUAUACACUCUUCUCAACAGUUCUGUGGGAUUUGGAUGUAGCGGGACGCUCAGGUCGAAUUGAUAACGAGGAACACACAAAACACCGUGCCGGUGACUAGCAUUUCUGGAGGUGUGAUGUUCACAAAUGAUGCUGUUAACAUUGUGUAUCUGUUGCCGUGCUGUGCAGUUGGUGCUGUGCCUUGGUGCUUUAGCCUGGCACCUCUGGUGAGUUUCAAAGAUCAUUUGUAUUAGCACCUGCUCCUGCUGGUUGUGUGUGUGUGUGUGUGUGUGUGUGUGUGUGUAUGUGUGUGUGUGUGUGCGUGUGUGUGUGUGUCCUGCUGUCUCUGCGCUCCCUUUUGCCAGGAGGUUUCCAACAGCUCUUGUGUUAAUAGUGGGCUAUCCGCUUCAACGGCAAAGAACACUUGUUAUCUGCUUUAUGGGGAAAACUCCAGGGAUCCUGCAACCCGCAGAUAUUCAUCUACGGCACAGGUACAGUAAAUAAUGGGUAUAAAGAAAGCACACUUAAUGCAUUCUUUUCACAUUAUUCAUUAUUCACAUCUACACUGGUUGGUAAAAACGCAGGUACAUUUUCUUUGGCUUGUUUUGGGGUAAAUAGUAUAGUACAGAAUAGGACUGAAAAAAUAAAGCACAGCUCGUGAGGUGAAACGAAAUCCAACGUUGAGCAUCGAGUAACAUGCCCCAUGUCAUCUGACUGCAGAUAUAUCCGAUGGUUAUCAAGCUAUCUCGCUGUGUUCUGUUAACCUCAGCCUGCUCACACUGAGGACUCUUUGCUGCACACCGACAGCUUGAUCAAUAGGUCAGCGUGCUGACAGCAGUCCUCGGGGCCCUGGUAGAGGCAGAGGCUGGCUUGGUUGAGGAAGGGGGUAGUUUACGGUGAUCAUGUAUCCCGCAGACACCAGGAGUACCUUGGCAGAGUGAUAAAAAAAAAAACACAAAACAUCCAUUUAAUAGAUGACCCCAACCCAAACCACCUACUUUGGCUCGUACCUUUAUGCCAAAACCUGAACUGACAAGCCUGCAAAAAAAAAAGGUGUUGGGAGAACACGAUGAGAUCCUUCUUUCUUUCUCUGCGUAUUAUCAGCCACAUCUCGAUAUGAUGUAUUUACUCUACACUACUCUAUAAAACCUGUAAUCUUUGCUUAUCUUUGACCAUCAGCAGCUUAUGUUGUGUAAAUUACUAAACACAUCUUGAAUUAUUCCUACUCGUGUGUUAUUACACGGCCGGAGCAUCACCUUCACGACAGACAAAUAAAGUAUUUUUUAGGCACAUGGGAGAUGCCGGGACAGAUAACCUCCCAUUUACAUUCAAACAGAGCUUUUGGCAAAGCCUUAGCAACAGGGUCCUUAAUCAGCGGGCUGGCUGCGCAUCCCAGACCUGACUUCUCCUCUUCUCUCUUUACAGCCGUGAUCUUGAGAAGGAGCUUUAAAUUGGAAAUUAUUACACAUUAAACCCUCUGCGCGCAGGCCACGAUCGAACUGGAUCAAUAUGUUGCCCGGCACAAUAAAUCAGACGCUUUCUCUCCCCUGCUCUCUUUCCCCCCUUUUUGCUUUUUCAAGUGGCUAUAGGCCACUGCUCUACUGGAACAUAUUUAAAUUUUCUUGUAACAAAUUAAUUCCAACAUUUUCUCUUGAUUGAAUUAGGCCAAGUGCUGGUGCUGUCACAAGUGUUUGGGCCGCUCCUGGGGAGAGACAAAUUGCCAGGCCUGGACAUGGGUAACAAGCGGUGGUGUUGAGUCGCUGAUAAUCUCCCCACUAAUUCUCCAUUACAGCAAAAUGAGGCCAUAAAUCUUCCUGACAGCUGAUCGAUGUAAACAUUGUUUCCCCCAUGAUUGCCAGCUCUCCCAGCGGAGGUACUGUCCGCUCACAAUCCGCUGAAAUUACUCCCGCUUUCCAGCCCUCCCUCCUUCCUUCUCCUCCUGCCUGGAACUGGUGUGUGUGCACGUCGGACUGGCCUGGCGGGGGAAACCAAAGUCACUGCUGUCCUGUCUUGGUGGACAUCUAAUUUUAGCUCAAAGCCUGCUAAACAAAUGGAAAAUAUUAAUCAAAAUGUCUCCUGUUUAACCAGUGGCAGUAGCAAUUCUUUAUCGAGGGAUGAUUGCUGUACUGUCAUUUGGUCACAUGGUGCUGCAGGUUGAAUGAAAUGAAAAAGUCUGUUGAGGAAUGAAGGAAAGAAGAAAUAGAGGGUACAACAUGCAGUCAAAAUGAUUUCUUUUCUAAAUGCAGCCAUCACUCCUGCUUUUUACGCCCGCAAUGACAUUAGGCAGAGUAAACGGCAGUGAAAGAUUGAGUUGUCAAACAGUCAAAGCACAAGGCUCGUUAUCAGCGUGUUCACUGUCUGAUAAUAUUCUACACCAUUAUUAAAAUCCAAUAUGCAUGCAAUUACAGAGACAGUGAUGCUGUUAGAACGGGAUGUCUGGCUGUAAUCACAGACGAAGGCCAUUUUAAGACAUGGCACUUUAGGAAACCUACCAAAAUGGCAUGCAUGAAGCAUUUUGGGCUGCAUAUUUUAUCCACAUAAAGCAAACUUCGCUCUGAGAAAGCACAGUUGGCCUGCACGCUCAUUUUACAACUGAUCUGAAACGAUUCCCUUUAAACAACACUUUGAUGACAAAACUCAAUUUUACAGUGACGAAACAUAUCAUCACACCUUCACUCAUCUCCAGUGGAUUUUGUAAUCCUUUUGACUUCAUGAUGAAAUACACAGGGACGAUUUAUGAACUUGCAGUAAGUGUAGCACAUAACCAUAACAAACGAUGGACAACUUGAAUGCCCCCAAAAGUAAAACCACAACAUUUUUAUUUUAUUGAUUGAUUUGUUGUACUUAUAUCUUCUUUGUUUUUCAGCCUCCCAAACAAAAAUAUGUUCCUGACGGGGCAAAGGAAAGUGUCACUACGGCUUAAACCACCAGUUUAUGACGUUUGGCUAAAACUAAUGCAGUCUAAUACAAUUGCCUUGCAGUAAUUACUUACUUACCAGUGACCCAGUGUUAGUGUGGUUAUUCAUAUUAGUUCACCAACACAUUUCCAAUUCAAUUUUAUUUGAUACCUUGUUACAGUGAAAUGGGGUUACAAACUAGUAUUUGUAAAAGAAAAAAAGAAGAAAGAAAAAGCUCUCGCUUAGCAUAUCGUGGGGUAUUGCAGUGCAAUAUAAUUGUUGAAUAGAGUUCAUCUGCCCUGGUAUGCAAAUUAAAAUUAACUUUUGUUUAACAUUCUGCAAAAUGUCCCUAAGCGUGUUUCAGAUACUUUCGCCGAUCUCUUUGAAAUCUCAAUUUCAGAUUUCCUCCACUGUGCAGCUAAUGUACAGCCUGUCUUCUCUCUCUGCACUCAGUCCACUUUGGCUGCCAGCAUAUGAGUUCUGUGACCACGGAGCACCCAGGAGGCGUCGCGACAGACCGGGGCGACGUCUUGCGAUGGCUCUAAAGGUUAUUCGGGCCAGCACUCCAUUGCAAUGGGUCCCUGUCUGGCUCUGUCACUGCCAUUAUGACUUCAUCACCCUCGAGAGGAGAGGAAGAGAGUGAAAGAAAAAGCAGUUUGCACUCAUCCGUCACUGUCCAUCUCAAAUUACACCUCAACCAAUCACCGGUCGAGGAUCAAUAGGGAGCGGCUGGGCGGGUUGGGGAGGGAUGAUCAGAGGACGGGAGGGACUGAAGAUGCCUGAUGAAAGACAGAAGAAUAACUGAUCAAUACGAAAGGAUGGAUUUUGUCAUUUUGAAAAGGGCUGUCAGAGGGUCGUUCACUCCCACCUGCUCACAGCUAUAUCCUCCAACUCCGGCUGCAGAUGACACAUCGGUCCAUCACAUC